Molecule: ribosomal RNA, 346 nt
Filed under: uncultured marine eukaryote
Lineage: Eukaryota
Description: SSU rRNA
Rfam family: Eukaryotic small subunit ribosomal RNA
Source: RNAcentral
AACCUGGUUGAUCCUGCCAGUAGUCAUACGCUCGUCUCAAAGAUUAAGCCAUGCAUGUGUAAGUUCAAUGAUUUGACCAAAAAACUGCGAAUGGCUCAUUAUAUCAGUUAUAGUUUAUUUGAUAGUCCCUUACUACUUGGAUACCCGUAGUAAUUCUAGAGCUAAUACAUGCGUAAACACUCGACCUUUGGAAGAGUGGUAUUUAUUAGAUUGAAACCAACCCGUUUCGGCGGUGUCCUGGUGAUUCAUAAUAACUUUUCGGAUUGCAUUGCAACAUUUCAUUCAAGUUUCUGCCCUAUCAGCUUUGACGGUAGUGUAUUGGACUACCGUGGCUUUAACGGGUAAC